Ornithorhynchus anatinus (platypus) is the source of this 105-nucleotide small nuclear RNA. Lineage: Eukaryota; Metazoa; Chordata; Mammalia; Monotremata; Ornithorhynchidae. The record is from RefSeq and is a predicted model, not a curated record.
AUGCUAGUUUCUGCGGCACAUGUACUAAAAUUGGAAUGAAACAGAGUAGAUUAACAUGACCCCUGCACAAGGACGAUGCAAAUUCAUGAAGCAUUCCGGAUUUUU